Molecule: ribosomal RNA, 253 nt
Filed under: uncultured bacterium
Lineage: Bacteria
Description: partial 16S ribosomal RNA
Rfam family: Bacterial small subunit ribosomal RNA
Source: RNAcentral
UACGUAGGGGGCGAGCGUUGUCCGGAAUCAUUGGGCGUAAAGCGCGUGUAGGCGGCUCGAUAAGUCCGGUGUGAAACCUUGGGGCUCAACCCCAAGCCUGCACUGGAUACUGCCGAGCUAGAGUCCGGGAGGGGAGAGCGGAAUUCCUAGUGUAGCGGUGAAAUGCGCAGAUAUUAGGAAGAACACCGGUGGCGAAGGCGGCUCUCGGGAACGGUACUGACGCUGAGACGCGAAAGCGUGGGGAGCGAACAGG